Molecule: ribosomal RNA, 253 nt
Filed under: uncultured bacterium
Lineage: Bacteria
Description: partial 16S ribosomal RNA
Rfam family: Bacterial small subunit ribosomal RNA
Source: RNAcentral
UACGUAGGGUGCGAGCGUUUAUCCGGAAUUAUUGGGCGUAAAGAGCUCGUAGGCGGUUUGUCGCGUCUGUCGUGAAAGUCCGGGCUUAACCCCGGAUCUGCGGUGGGUACGGGCAGACUAGAGUGCAGUAGGGGAGACUGGAAUUCCUGGUGUAGCGGUGGAAUGCGCAGAUAUCAGGAGGAACACCGAUGGCGAAGGCAGGUCUCUGGGCUGUAACUGACGCUGAGGAGCGAAAGCAUGGGGAGCGAACAGG